RNAcentral lists this ribosomal RNA (639 nucleotides) under Rhizopogon vesiculosus. RNAcentral describes it as "eukaryotic LSU rRNA". The stretch from base 192 to 346 matches the Rfam family "5.8S ribosomal RNA". The record is from RNAcentral. Lineage: Eukaryota; Fungi; Basidiomycota; Agaricomycetes; Boletales; Rhizopogonaceae.
GCCUUCGGGCAUGUGCACGCUGACCGUGUUUCAACAAUUUCUCACCUGUGAACCUAAUGUAGGAUGCCUCUCCUCCGGGAGGGGGGACCUAUGUCUUCAUAUACAUCUUCGUGUAGAAAGUCUUAGAAUGUUUACUAUCAGAGAGUCGCGACUUCUAGGAGACGCGAAACUCUUGAGAUAAAAGUUAUUACAACUUUCAGCAAUGGAUCUCUUGGCUCUCGCAUCGAUGAAGAACGCAGCGAAAAGCGAUAUGUAAUGUGAAUUGCAGAUCUACAGUGAAUCAUCGAAUCUUUGAACGCACCUUGCGCUCCUCGGUGUUCCGAGGAGCAUGCCUGUUUGAGUGUCAGUAAAUUCUCAACCCCUCUUGAUUUUUUUUUGAGGGAGUUUGGAUAGUGGGGGUUGCCGGAGACUAAUAAGACUCGGGCUCUCCUGAAAUGCAUUGGCUUGCGAUAGACUUUCGACUUUGCGCGACAAGGCUUUCGGCGUGAUAAUGAUCGCCGUUCGCUGAAGCGCAUGAAUGAAGGUUUCGCGCCUCUAAUAUGUCGACUCUUAUUAUCUCUUCGGAGAGAAAAGGUCUUCUUUAUUGACUUUUGACCUCAAAUCAGGUAGGAUUACCCGCUGAACUUAAGCAUAUCAAUA